Molecule: long non-coding RNA, 1352 nt
Filed under: Macaca fascicularis (crab-eating macaque)
Lineage: Eukaryota; Metazoa; Chordata; Mammalia; Primates; Cercopithecidae
Description: lncRNA (ENSMFAG00000047551.1)
Source: RNAcentral
GAUUUUUCAUCUUGAAAAUGUGAGUCUUAAUGUUAAAAUUAUAACUAAAACUGUCUGCAAGCCCAGAUUCAUUAAUAUUAGAAAUGACUGGUAGAAUCUAAUGUCAGGAACUAAUGGCUCCAUAAUAUAAGAAUAUAUUCUAAUUAAUAGUAAAGUCCACAGCCUUUAUGCAUUCAGCUCUUUAAUGGGUGCCACCCAGGAACAAUAGGGGGAAUGAGCGAAAACCUCUUUCAACAAAAUAGGACUUCUCCAAUCUAAACCUGCUUUCUUUAACAGGGCUAAGCUAUCUUUAUGUGUACUGUAAAGAGAAUCCCAGGCUGGUUGUCUUCAUCACCCAAGGACCUACGCAUUUUUCCAAUGACUAUCUUCAGGGUACAUCACAGCCUCCUUGCACUUCUAACACUGGACAGCACUUCUAACACUGGAUAGCACUGCAAUUGGAGGUCAUUUUAAACAGCAAAAUCACCAAGAAAAAUCACAAAAAUGUGAAUAAUGUGUUACUAAACAGACCCCAAAAAGGACACUUCCUUAUAUUAUAAGAGCUGAAACAAGAAGGCAGAGCAUAUUCUUGUUGGACCCCAGCUGAAAACGAGCAGGGCAGUUGACUCAAAUUUCUGACUGCUCUGCCUCAGUCCACAAAUGAUCACUGAAGCUCUGGGAACGCUGAUUUUGAGCUACAAAUACAUUUUAGUGAAUAGGCAAAUUCACAAAUAUGGAAUCCUUGAAUAAUGAGGACUAGCUGGAUAUGCAUUUAGUUCAUAUAUUUAUGCAUUCAUAUCUUUUUCUGAACCAUUUGAGGGUAAAUUGGAGACAUUGUACCUAUUUACUCCAAUUUUUACUUUUUUUAUUUCAGUAGAUUUUGGGGGAACAGGUAGUGUUUGGCUACAUGAGUAAGUUCUUUAGCGGUGAAUUCUGACUGGUGUACACUGUACCCAAUGUGUAGUCUUUUAUCCCUUGCCACCCCUAACCCUUUUCCCUGCGUCCCCAAAGUCCAGUGUAUCAUUCUUAUGCCUUUGCAUCCUCAUAGCUUAACUCCCACAUAUGAGUGAGAACAUAUGGAUGUUUGGUUUUCCACUUCUGAGUUACUUCACUUAGAAUAAUCUCCAAUUUCAUCUAGGUUGCUGUGAAUACCAUUAUUUCAUUCCCUUUAAUGGCUGAGUAGUAUUCCAUGUAUUUAUAUUCAUACCACAUUUAUAUAUAUACACACACACACACACACACACCAUGGAAUACUACUCAGCCAUAUAUACCAUAUAUAUAGUAUGGAAUACUACUAAGCCAUACUACAUUAUAUAUAUAUACACACACGCAUAUAUAUAUGUACACAUAUAUACACAUACAUAUAUGUGUAC